AGUGAACGCUGGCGGUAGGCCUAACACAUGCAAGUCGAACGGCAGCACAGGAGAGCUUGCUCUCUGGGUGGCGAGUGGCGGACGGGUGAGGAAUACAUCGGAAUCUACUUUUUCGUGGGGGAUAACGUAGGGAAACUUACGCUAAUACCGCAUACGACCUACGGGUGAAAGCAGGGGAUCUUCGGACCUUGCGCGAUUGAAUGAGCCGAUGUCGGAGUAGCUAGUUGGCGGGGUAAAGGCCCACCAAGGCGACGAUCCGUAGCUGGUCUGAGAGGAUGAUCAGCCACACUGGAACUGAGACACGGUCCAGACUCCUACAGGAGGCAGCAGUGGGGAAUAUUGGACAAUGGGCGCAAGCCUGAUCCAGCCAUACCGCGUGGGUGAAGAAGGCCUUCGGGUUGUAAAGCCCUUUUGUUGGGAAAGAAAUCCAGCCGGCUAAUACCUGGUUGGGAUGACGGUACCCAAAGAAUAAGCACCGGCUAACUUCGUGCCAGCCGCCGCAGUAA
RNAcentral lists this ribosomal RNA (506 nucleotides) under uncultured bacterium. Its description in RNAcentral is "partial 16S ribosomal RNA". It matches the Rfam family "Bacterial small subunit ribosomal RNA", at positions 29 to 523 of the family's 1533-position model. The record is from RNAcentral.